UCCCUGGUGGCUCAGUGGUAAAGGGUCUGCCUGCCAAUGCAGGAGACACAGGUUAGACCCCUGAUCUGGGAG
This 72-nucleotide transfer RNA is filed under the name Ovis aries (sheep). It matches the Rfam family "tRNA". From Rfam's summary of the family: Transfer RNA (tRNA) molecules are approximately 80 nucleotides in length. Their secondary structure includes four short double-helical elements and three loops (D, anti-codon, and T loops). The record is from Rfam by way of RNAcentral. Lineage: Eukaryota; Metazoa; Chordata; Mammalia; Artiodactyla; Bovidae.